Transfer RNA from Folsomia candida, 71 nucleotides. It matches the Rfam family "tRNA". Rfam says of the family: Transfer RNA (tRNA) molecules are approximately 80 nucleotides in length. Their secondary structure includes four short double-helical elements and three loops (D, anti-codon, and T loops). Further hydrogen bonds mediate the characteristic L-shaped molecular structure. tRNAs have two regions of fundamental functional importance: the anti-codon, which is responsible for specific mRNA codon recognition, and the 3' end, to which the tRNAs corresponding amino acid is attached (by aminoacyl-tRNA synthetases). tRNAs cope with the degeneracy of the genetic code in two manners: having more than one tRNA (with a specific anti-codon) for a particular amino acid; and 'wobble' base-pairing, i.e. permitting non-standard base-pairing at the 3rd anti-codon position. The record is from Rfam. Lineage: Eukaryota; Metazoa; Arthropoda; Collembola; Entomobryomorpha; Isotomidae.
GCCUCUGUAGCUCAGUGGUAGAGCAACUGCCCGGCAAGCAGUGGUCCCGGGUUCGUUUCCCGGCUGGGGUU